This 342-nucleotide ribosomal RNA is filed under the name Triticum aestivum (bread wheat). Its description in RNAcentral is "partial small subunit ribosomal RNA". The record is from RNAcentral. Lineage: Eukaryota; Viridiplantae; Streptophyta; Magnoliopsida; Poales; Poaceae.
AUGUCCCACGGCAAAUUCACUAACAUGCCCAUGGCAAGUUUCUUUUUUCAAGCUGAUGUCAAACUUUUCUUGCCAUGGCAACUUUCUUUUUUCAAGACGAUGUCAAACUUCACUAGAUGUCCCACGACAAAUUCACUAACAUGCCCAUGGCAAGUUUCUUUUUUCAAGCCGAUGUCAAACUUUUCUUGCCAUGGCACUUUUUUCAAGACGAUGUCAAACUUUUCUUACCAUGGCGGCAAAUUCACUAACAUGCCCAUGGCAAGUUUCUUUUUUCAUGCCGAUGUCAAACUUUUCUUGCCACGACAACUUUCGCUUUUCAAGACAAUGUCCAACUUUUCUUAG